UGGGGAAUUUUGGACAAUGGGCGCAAGCCUGAUCCAGCCAUGCCGCGUGCGGGAAGAAGGCCUUCGGGUUGUAAACCGCUUUUGUCAGGGAAGAAAUCUUCUGAGUUAAUACCUCGGGAGGAUGACGGUACCUGAAGAAUAAGCACCGGCUAACUACGUGCCAGCAGCCGCGGUAAUACGUAGGGUGCAAGCGUUAAUCGGAAUUACUGGGCGUAAAGCGUGCGCAGGCGGUUUUGUAAGACAGAGGUGAAAUCCCCGGGCUCAAUCUGGGAACUGCCUUUGUGACUGCAAGGCUUGAGUGCGGCAGAGGGGGAUGGAAUUCCGCGUGUAGCAGUGAAAUGCGUAGAUAUGCGGAGGAACACCGAUGGCGAAGGCAAUCCCCUGGGCCUGCACUGACGCUCAUGCACGAAAGCGUGGGGAGCAAACAGGAUUAGAUAGCCCUGGUAGUCCACGCCCUAAACGAUGUCAACUGGUUGUUGGGAAGGUUCCUUCUCAGUAACGUAGCUAACGCGUGAAGUUGACCGCCUGGGGAGUACGGCCGCAAGGUUGAAACUUAAAUGAAUUGACGGGGGUCAU
This 576-nucleotide ribosomal RNA is filed under the name uncultured bacterium. Its description in RNAcentral is "partial 16S ribosomal RNA". It matches the Rfam family "Bacterial small subunit ribosomal RNA", at positions 355 to 923 of the family's 1533-position model. The record is from RNAcentral.